AACGAACGCUGGCGGCAUGCCUAACACAUGCAAGUCGAACGAGACCUUCGGGUCUAGUGGCGCACGGGUGCGUAACGCGUGGGAACCUGCCCUUAGGUUCGGAAUAACUCCCCGAAAGGGGUGCUAAUACCGGAUAAUGUCUUCGGACCAAAGAUUUAUCGCCUUUGGAUGGGCCCGCGUUGGAUUAGCUAGUUGGUAGGGUAAAGGCCUACCAAGGCGACGAUCCAUAGCUGGUCUGAGAGGAUGAUCAGCCACACUGGGACUGAGACACGGCCCAGACUCCUACGGGAGGCAGCAGUGGGGAAUAUUGGACAAUGGGCGAAAGACUGAUCCAGCAAUGCCGCGUGAGUGAUGAAGGCCUUAGGGUUGUAAAGCUCUUUUACCCGGGACGAUAAUGACAGUACCGGGAGAAUAAGCUCCGGCUAACUCCGUG
This 433-nucleotide ribosomal RNA is filed under the name uncultured bacterium. RNAcentral's name for it is "partial 16S ribosomal RNA". It matches the Rfam family "Bacterial small subunit ribosomal RNA", at positions 29 to 507 of the family's 1533-position model. The record is from RNAcentral.